RNAcentral lists this small RNA (167 nucleotides) under Chelonoidis abingdonii (Abingdon island giant tortoise). RNAcentral's name for it is "TUC338 (ENSCABG00000011312.1)". Lineage: Eukaryota; Metazoa; Chordata; Testudines; Testudinidae. The record is from RNAcentral.
GGGACCACCACGGGCCUCUGGAGGCCUCCCAUCAUCCCCAGAGCUGGGAAAGUGCAGAGCUGCCUUCCACACGGUCCCCAGUAGCUGACUCGCCUGCAUUGGAGGAACCCUCCUCUAAGGGUGAGAAGGGAGUUCAGGCUCCAGGGUCUAUUCAGUCUUUGGCUAUU